Molecule: ribosomal RNA, 490 nt
Filed under: uncultured bacterium
Lineage: Bacteria
Description: partial 16S ribosomal RNA
Rfam family: Bacterial small subunit ribosomal RNA
Source: RNAcentral
AUUGAACGCUGGCGGCAUGCCUUACACAUGCAAGUCGAACGGCAGCAUGAUCUAGCUUGCUAGAUUGAUGGCGAGUGGCGAACGGGUGAGUAAUACAUCGGAACGUGCCCUGUAGUGGGGGAUAACUAGUCGAAAGAUUAGCUAAUACCGCAUACGACCUGAGGGUGAAAGUGGGGGACCGCAAGGCCUCAUGCUAUAGGAGCGGCCGAUGUCUGAUUAGCUAGUUGGUGAGGUAAAGGCUCACCAAGGCGACGAUCAGUAGCUGGUCUGAGAGGACGAUCAGCCACACUGGGACUGAGACACGGCCCAGACUCCUACGGGAGGCAGCAGUGGGGAAUUUUGGACAAUGGGCGAAAGCCUGAUCCAGCAAUGCCGCGUGUGUGAAGAAGGCCUUCGGGUUGUAAAGCACUUUUGUCCGGAAAGAAAUGGCUCUGGUUAAUACCUGGGGUCGAUGACGGUACCGGAAGAAUAAGGACCGGCUAGCUACGUG